UGGGGGAUAUUGCACAAUGGGCGAAAGCCUGAUGCAGCGACGCCGCGUGGGGGAUGAAGGCUUUCGGGUUGUAAACCUCUUUCGCUAUCGAACAAGGCCCGCUUAGGGUGGGUUGAGGGUAGGUGGAGAAGAAGCGCCGGCUAACUACGUGCCAGCAGCCGCGGUAAUACGUAGGGCGCGAGCGUUGUCCGGAAUUAUUGGGCGUAGGGCUUGUAGGCGGCUUGUUGCGCCUGCUGUGAAAACGCGGGGCUUAACUUCGCGCGUGCAGUGGGUACGGGCAGGCUUGAGUGUGGUAGGGGGGACUGGAAUUCCCGGUGUAGCGGUGGAAUGCGCAGAUAUCUGGAGGAACACCGAUGGCGAAGGCAGGUCACUGGGCCAUUACUGACGCUGAGGAGCGAAAGCAUGGGUAGCGAACAGG
This 418-nucleotide ribosomal RNA is filed under the name bacterium. RNAcentral describes it as "partial 16S ribosomal RNA". It matches the Rfam family "Bacterial small subunit ribosomal RNA", at positions 355 to 776 of the family's 1533-position model. The record is from RNAcentral.